CCCUUAGAUGUUCUGGGCCGCACGCGCGCUACACUGAUGCAUUCAACGAGUCCAACCUUGACCGAGAGGUCCGGGUAAUCUUUGAAACUGCAUCGUGAUGGGGCUAGAUUAUUGCAAUUAUUAAUCUUCAACGAGGAAUGCCUAGUAAGCGUGAUUCAUCAAAUCGCGUUGAUUACGUCCCUGCCCUUUGUACACACCGCCCGUCGCUCCUACCGAUUGAGUGUGUUGGUGAGGAGUUUGGAUUGGCCUCGGAAGGUGGUUCGCCACCGUCCGUAGCUGAGAAGUUCUCCAAACCGCCCCACUUAGAGGAAGGAGAAGUCGUAUCA
This 326-nucleotide ribosomal RNA is filed under the name uncultured eukaryote. RNAcentral describes it as "partial 18S ribosomal RNA". It matches the Rfam family "Eukaryotic small subunit ribosomal RNA", at positions 1470 to 1796 of the family's 1831-position model. The record is from RNAcentral.